Molecule: unclassified non-coding RNA, 363 nt
Filed under: uncultured bacterium
Lineage: Bacteria
Description: contains 16S-23S intergenic spacer region
Source: RNAcentral
UCCCCGUUACCGGGGCAGUCUGAAUAGAAAAAUUCAACUAUUCAUAAGGGUUGCGCUCGUUGAUGGACUUAACCAAACAUCUCACGACACGAGCUGACGACGGCCAUGCAUCACCUGUCACUUGGUUCCAAAAGGCACUCUCGUCUUUCGACAAAAUUCCAAGGAUGUCAAACCCUGGUAAGGUUCUUCGCUUACCAUCGAAUUAAAGAACAUGCUCCACCGCUUGUGCGGGUCCCCGUCAAUUCCUUUAUGUUUUAGUCUUGCGACCGUACUCCACAGGCGGGAUGCUUAACGCGUUAGCUUCGCUACGGAAGGGGUCGAUACCCCCCACAGCUAGCAUCCAUCGUUUACGGCGUGGACUAC